This 39-nucleotide ribosomal RNA is filed under the name Schiffneria hyalina. RNAcentral describes it as "partial 26S ribosomal RNA". RNAcentral also lists the same sequence under 2 other names. Lineage: Eukaryota; Viridiplantae; Streptophyta; Jungermanniopsida; Jungermanniales; Cephaloziaceae. The record is from RNAcentral.
GGACCUCAGAUCAGGCAAGAUUACCCGCUGAGUUUAAGC